Non-coding RNA from Schizosaccharomyces pombe (fission yeast), 2201 nucleotides. The record is from the annotation of a GenBank genome assembly. NCBI's taxonomy places the organism in Eukaryota, Fungi, Ascomycota, Schizosaccharomycetes, Schizosaccharomycetales, Schizosaccharomycetaceae.
AGUAACGUAUAUGGCUUAAAGAAGCGAGAUUACGAUUUGUUAAUAGUUCAGUAUGUCAAAAAUUCUUUGAAUAGCUAAAUGCUACAGACGAAACACUCAGUCAAAAGGUCCUCGAGUUGUUUGUUCAAAUAAUCGAGAAGAGGUUAUUUUUUCUUCGAGUUUUACGUCGGUUACCUAAGACUAAAUACAUCUACUUAGAAAAUACGAAAACCCCAAGUAAAGCUUCACAUAAAUAAGGUUGCAAAACAAACUGAACAUUUAUACUUAUGAACAUGUAGAUAAAUUGCCAAAAAAAAGGUUGACGAACUCUAAGAUUACGAAUAAUUAUAGAAAAUGAAGAAGCUUUGGUGUUCUAAAAUGUCAAACUUAUAUAUAAGAGUUUGGAACCAAAGCGUGAAACAUGCUUACUCUUCGUCAAUAAUUUCUUCCUCCAAUCGAAUACCUUCUUUGGCAAGUGUAUCAAUCAAUGGACCGCAAAGCUUCAUAUCAUUAGGAGCCAAAACACCUGGGGUGUUAAUAACACCAUCAAGAAUUUGCUGAGUAGCAACACCACAAGGAACGCCGACUAAUUUUGCCAUAGAGGUGUAGCCAUUAGGAACACCGUAGUCAAGCAAAGUGCAAGUACGAGUUUGGCGUUUUCCUUCUUUGGUUUCAACUUCAAACUUGUGUUGAAGGAUUAACAUAUCACGUUCACCUUCUUCGUAUUGCAUAAGUUCCUCCAAGGUAGCGCAUAAGGUGUCCAAAGGAUUACCACGAGGAGUAACGGGUUUGCUAGAGAACAUACCAAGCCACUUCAAACCAUUCAAAAUGCGCUUCUUGUCGUCUUCAUCUUUGAAUUUGUGGAUGGAAGAAAUUUUCUUGAUUAGGUCGGCUUCGGAGGAAGAUUCAGCCUUGAUGACACGAGCAGUAACCUCCUUCCAAGGCAAAGCGGGUGCUUCAGGAGAUAAGUAUUCCUGAGCUGUCUCAUCCAAAAAUCCCAUAUCAACCAAACAAUGAAUAAACUCGGGAAAUCCUUGGUAACGUAAAGUACCGCGAAUGAUAGUUUCUGCUUCAGGUAUUUGAUAGCGCUCUUGGUAGACAGUGGAAUCACGAUUAGGAUAACAAACGAAAGCGUAACCGGGAUAGAUGAAAUAGGGUUUAGCAGUUUCCAUCAAAUCCUUGCCGUCAAUUUCAACAAGUUUGCCGUUUUCAUAAAACUUGGCAGAGUUGCGAAGAGCCAACAAAACACCACGAGAAGACCAAGAAAACUUGUAUCCUAAAGGAUUGUUGGAGUCCUCGGGAGCGGGAAGACCUCCACAAUAAGACAAGAAAGACUUAAUCUUACCGCCAGCUUUAUGAACCUCUUCAAUGGUCUUGAUAGCAUAUAAAUGAUCAAUACCGGGAUCGACGCCGAUUUCGUUCAUACAAAUAGAACCAGCCUUGAUGGCAGCUUCCUCCAACUCAGCCAUUUUGGGAUUCACAUAACUGGUGGUACAAACGUGUUUACCAUGCUUAAUGGCAGCUUUCAUAACUGUUGCAUGAUAAGUGUAAGGAAUCAAGCUGAUGGUAAGAUCAUGUUCGGAAACAGCUUUCUCAAGAGCUGCUUCAUCAUUGACAUCCAAAGCAAUGGCUUUGCUGUUUGGGAUACCAUUAAUAAAUGCUUCAGCCUUAGAAAGAGUUCUGCAUGCUACGGUUAUAUUAUUUUCUUUACGACGAGAUAAAUAUUCUAAAGUAGGAUGAGCGACAAAUCCCGAACCAAGUAAUAAGAUGGAAGGCAUUUUGAUGUUGAAAAUGAAAGAGGCAGUCAGUUAAGGACAAGUGGUAAACCAAAGACUUCUGUUUUGUCGUCACGGUUUUAGCGAUAUAUAAGGGGUUCCUUUUUAUCCACAGAUUUAUUUCUGAUGGCCGAAAUCGUCGUCUAAAUUGAUGAAAACUGAUUAUCUCGAAUCGGUUAAAAAAGCAGUCACAUGGACCAUUUUUUGAAUUAAUAUUUAAUCGUUACGUUUCCUCUCAAUGUUAUGUUUGGCUUACUAGGGGAAUUCGUUAUUAUCGACAAGUUUAGUCGAUAAUUUGUUAGCAGCGAUGUCGCAACUGAUAGUUUUAGCAACUUUUUUUACGUAGUUUUUUUCUGCAGAACAGAAGUUGCUUAAAAGCUAGUAGAUGCCAUUCGUUGUUGUUUGGGGGUAGAUUAAAGAAUUCUAAGCUUUAGUAUAAGAAUAAUU